GGAGGAGCCGGGGAGGAGCCGGGGAGGAGCAAUAAUUAAGAAUAACAAGAAUAAUAAGAAUCAAAUCUUGUCCGGCUUGCAGUAAGAAAGAAUGACAGUCCCCCAACAGGAACAAAGGACAGAUCUGAGCUCACCAAGAGGACACAGUGAGGAAGGAGAGAAGAUAAAAAGCAUCCAAGCAUUCUAAAGAUGCAAAGGAACUGUGAUGUAUAUACCAGUGUCUGAUAAGGCCCUGUUCAUUCUUUGGAGACGAUAACGCCCUGUGUUCGGUCUGGUCUGUGCUGAACAGAUGUGUCUGGUGUGAUCACCUCUGUUUGCAGCCUUUCCCAUCUCAAAUACCAGGGAGCAAGGCAGCUGAAAAAAGUGAGGAAUGUGUUUGCCACAAGCAUUGCGCUGUUUCAUGAGGAGAGCAUGCUACCAUAGAACACACCAGUAGAAAAAGGGGCUUUGACUUCAUUUCCCUCUUUGAGCAGAAGCCUUGCCUACUCUACUGGUUGCCAGUGGCAAAUCCUGGAAAAUUAGCAAAGCACAUCUGUAUUUCUUGGAAUGAAAGAAGAAUGGUUUAAUCGAAAUAUCUGUGACUCAGACCAAUCAGGAAGUGCUUUGGAACUGUUUGCACAACUGUUUGCACUGCUCUGAGGUAAAAUUGAUUAAUGUUCAUUCAAAAGCAUCCCACAAGCCUUCCCACACUUGCACCUUUCCCAUAGCUAGGAUUUUAAACACAAAAGGAUUUCCGAAUUUUCAAUCAACUUCAGAUUCAUACACUUUCUAUACACCUUCCUGUUUGGUUAUCCAAAUCACAAGAACCAAAUAAGCACAGGUAGAAACAAUUUCAGUUAUUACGUCAGAAAUUAAUCUGUGUAAGUCUCAUCUGAGACUAGAAGGCUAAUAAGGAAAGCUGCAAAGCCUAUUAAGCACCAGCUUCUGUUGCCUUCAUUCUCAUAUCUGAUCACUUAAACACUAUGAACUUAAAAUAUCCCUAAGAAACAUUCUCAGUUUUAAAUUUAGGAAAAGCAAGCCUCAAGAUUAAACAAAAUCAUGCAGAUUAUCUACUACAUAGACCUUUAAGGGCUACAGGAGCUGUAACUUGAAAAUACCUUCAUCUGAUUUGCCACAGUAAGGAGAAAGAGAGUAUUUUCAACUAAUCCUCAUAAAAGCAAAUGACUGUGGUUUGCACAGAGCUGAAAAAACAGCUGUACAGCAAAGAGUAUAUGAAUGAACAAAGGCAAGAGGGAGGUACCAGACACCUGGAGGGGUUCAAGGCCAGGCUGGAUGGAGCCUUGGGCAGCCUGAUCUAGUGGGAUGUGUCCCUGCCCAUGGCAGGGCGGUUGGAACUGGAUAAUCUUUAAGGUCCCUUCCAGCCCAAACUAUUCUAUGAUUCUAUGAUUUCCUAUACAUGUUUGAAGCAGGAAGUAGGGGGAAGAGGAAGAAGA
This is a long non-coding RNA of Cuculus canorus (common cuckoo), 1433 nucleotides long. RefSeq lists it as uncharacterized. The transcript is spliced from 5 exons. Lineage: Eukaryota; Metazoa; Chordata; Aves; Cuculiformes; Cuculidae. The record is from RefSeq and is a predicted model, not a curated record.